This 515-nucleotide ribosomal RNA is filed under the name Selasphorus sasin. RNAcentral describes it as "partial 16S rRNA". It matches the Rfam family "Bacterial large subunit ribosomal RNA", at positions 1842 to 2564 of the family's 2925-position model. The record is from RNAcentral. Lineage: Eukaryota; Metazoa; Chordata; Aves; Apodiformes; Trochilidae.
AGUAUUGAAGGUGAUGCCUGCCCAGUGACGCCAAUGUUCAACGGCCGCGGUAUCCUAACCGUGCGAAGGUAGCGCAAUCAAUUGUCUCAUAAAUCGAGACCUGUAUGAAUGGCUAAACGAGAUCUCAACUGUCUCUUGUAGAUAAUCAGUGAAAUUGAUCUCCCCGUGCAAAAGCGAGGAUAAUCACAUAAGACGAGAAGACCCUGUGGAACUUAAAAAUCACUAGUCACCUCCCUAACACAGAACCUAGCAGGCCCACUACCCAGAGAGCCCUGACUAAUAUUUUUUGGUUGGGGCGACCUUGGAGAAUAACAAAACCUCCAAAUACAAGACCACAAAUCUUUACUGAGUGCCACCACUCAAAGUGCUAACAGUAACCAGACCCAGUAUCCCAUCUGAUCAAUGAACCAAGCUACCCCAGGGAUAACAGCGCAAUCUCCUCCAAGAGCUCCUAUCGACGAGGGGGAAUUACGACCUCGAUGUUGGAUCAGGACAUCCUAAUGGUGCAGCCGCUA